UGGUAGAUGCACCCUGAUAACUCAUUUCCCUUAGCUAAUUGAUUUUGGCUGGGGGAUUUUUUU
This is a small RNA of Calothrix sp. PCC 6303, 63 nucleotides long. It matches the Rfam family "Nitrogen stress-induced RNA 1". NCBI's taxonomy places the organism in Bacteria, Bacillati, Cyanobacteriota, Cyanophyceae, Nostocales, Calotrichaceae. The record is from Rfam.